RNAcentral lists this ribosomal RNA (503 nucleotides) under Teleopsis whitei. Its description in RNAcentral is "partial 16S ribosomal RNA". The stretch from base 271 to 429 matches the Rfam family "Bacterial large subunit ribosomal RNA", at positions 2473 to 2632 of the family's 2925-position model. Lineage: Eukaryota; Metazoa; Arthropoda; Insecta; Diptera; Diopsidae. The record is from RNAcentral.
AUGGUUGGACGAAAUAUAUACUGUUUCAUUUAAAAUUUAAAUAGAAUUUUAUUUUUUAGUUAAAAAGCUAAAAUAUAGUCAAAAGACGAGAAGACCCUAUAAAUCUUAAUUGUGUAUAAAUUUUUAAUUUGGGUUGAUUUUUUUAAGUAUAAAUUUAUAUAUAAUUUCAUUGGGGUGAUGUUAAAAUUUAAUUAACUUUUAAUAAUUUUAUUCAUUUAUUUAUGAUUAAGUGAUCCAUUAUUAGUGAUUAUAAAUUUAAGUUACUUUAGGGAUAACAGCGUAAUUUUUUUGGAGAGUUCUUAUCGAUAAAAAAGUUUGCGACCUCGAUGUUGGAUUAAGAUUCAUAUUUAAAUGUAGAAGUUUAAAUAUUAAGUCUGUUCGACUUUUUAUUCUUACAUGAUCUGAGUUCAAACCGGUGUAAGCCAGGUUGGUUUCUAUCUUUGAUUUAAUAAAAUAUUUUAGUACGAAAGGAAUUAGUAUUUAUUUUUUAGAAAUUUAAUUAA